This is a long non-coding RNA of Macaca mulatta (Rhesus monkey), 2545 nucleotides long. The record is from Ensembl. NCBI's taxonomy places the organism in Eukaryota, Metazoa, Chordata, Mammalia, Primates, Cercopithecidae.
UUUUUUUUUUUUUUUUUUUUUUUGAGACAGUCUCCCUUUGUCGCCCAGGCUGGAGUGCAGUGGUACCAUCUAGGCUCACUGCAACCUCCACCUCUCGGGUUCGGCUAUUCUCAUGCCUCAGUCUCGUGAGCAGGAGGAUCGCUUGAACCCUGGAGGCGGAGGUUGCGGUAAGCCAAGAUCACGCCAUCGCACUCCAGCCUGGGAAACAAGGGCGAAACUUCGUCCUUAAAAAAAAUAAUAAUAAUAAAAUAAAUCAGAAAAUAGGUAUUACUUCCCCACUCAAAACCACCCUCAAGGUAGCGGUUCGUGCAAAAGUAACUGCUGUUUUUUGUUGUUGUUAAGACCAAAACCGCAAUUACUUCUGCACCAUCCUAAUAGAUCUGAUGAAACCAGGAGAAUGGAAGCUAGGAAAGGUGUGGCUCACAAGCAAUGGGAGAAGUGUGCUUUUAAGGACAAUGGAGUGCCCAGCCUCUGGGUUCUGCCCAUGGAGCACCACCCACAGCCAGGUCCCUGCCUGUACAGACAGGAAGGAAAACGGGGCCACUUCACAGGGUGCUACAGGCCUCUCAGAAAGGGGCUCAGGUAAGGGAAGGCUUUCCAACGAAGCAGCCUGAAGGGCAAGGAGUAAUUCGCAUUUUUGUUUUAGUUCUUGGAGAGGUUUGGUUUCAAGGCAGACAGACACAUUAAAAACCGUAAAACUGCCUUAGGCUUAAGGGUGGGGCAGGGGGUCACACGCUGGACACACAAACCCCUAAUGACAGAGGUGUGUGUACUUCUGAAACCCAGAAAAUGACAUUCCUAAGGGCUUUACUGCGGAUUCAUUGGGGAUUAAAAAGAAGCUCCCAUCGAGGCCCCCUCCUGCUCGAAUGACAUUUAACACCAAGAGUAAGCUGACUGAUGUGGAUUAUUAGAAGUGUAUUCAAAGUCAAUGUUAAAAAGUUACAGACCAUUUCAAUUCUCUUCAAAACGCAGCACUGACUUAUAAUGGAAUUUUCGAUGUGACUCCACUAAUCCUGUUACCACGUUAGAACACAGAAAUAGAAUUUGUUCCCUUGGCGUUCACUGGUUGCUAUAGAAAUAGCAUCAAAAUGCAUUAUACUUUCAGGUGAAGAAAUGCAUCAUGGAUGCUGAAAAAGAAAAACUGUCAUCAAAUCCAGUACAAACUCAAAUCACUCCUUUAAUAAUAAAUGGGUGCAAGUAUACACCCAGAAUACCACCCAAACAGACGUGUUCCAGCCCUAGGGAAGCAAUUUCAUUCAUUUCAACAUACAGAACAACAACCCACAGAAAGAUGCUCUAGGCAAACAGCUAAUCUGGCCAGGCUGGGACUCCGCCUCAGACGGUAGAGCUCACAACACAUACACCCGUUUCUCACUCUAAGCCUGCAGUUUACAUGUUUCCAUUGUGUUCCAUUCUCAUACCCAUAUGUAUGAAAACCUAAGUGUAGCCCCAUCUUCCCCCAUAAACACAGGCUCCCUCAUGAGUUGGGUUUGCUAUCUCUAGGGGAUGAUACACAGGCUAUCCUAAAUUUGAUUUCAACCCAAGGAAACAUUUGAGAGGUUUAAUAAGCGUUCUUCAUAAAUGAAAAAAUAAAAAAAGUCUAUUACAUUAAAGAGGCAGAUGGUAUUUUUUUUUACUGGUCCCAAAUGGAAAGAAGUGGGUAUCAUGGCACUUCAGACCCUGCAAAACUCCUAAGUCAACGGGUUAUGGUAACUGUAACCUGACCAAUGCUUAUCACCCAGCACACCACCACCCCCAUCCUGUUCCUAAAAUAUGUCUACUGGGCCUGCUCCUGACUUGCUAUGCCCGGCUCCUGGAGUGGGCCUAUAAGGAGAUGGUGUUAAGGUAAAGAACAGACUGCAAAUCAGUUCCUGGUUGAGGCUAGCCAAGCAGCAGGUGCCUGGGGAUGACUCAGUAUCUCCAUCAUUUGAAGUGUUCCUGGUUUAGGUGAAAAUACUGGGAGUUCUGACUCAUCCUACUACAUAUCUUGGGAGACUGUGGGCUCAGGAGAUUCAACACAAAGACAACUGCCCUCGUGGGUUCACAGGGACAGAUAGACAAUCAAGAAUGAAAAUAAAAACUAAAAUUAGGAGAUGGUAAACCCUACAGAAAAAAGAAGUGUAGGCAGCAGAUGGGAUGGCACUUUUAAAAUUCCUACUCCUAAUGACUUUCACAAGUGAGGCUCUGUGGUUCCUAAUCUCUUCUCAUUGCCUCCAUAUUAUGCAUUAAACAGGGUAACAGGCCGGGCGCGGUGGCUCACAUCAGUAAUUUCAGCACUUUGGGAGGCCAAGACAGCCGGAUCACGAGGUUGGGAGAUCGAGACCACCCUGGCUAACACGGUGAAACCCCGUCUCUACUAAAAAUACAAAAAUUAGCCGGGUGUGGUGGCGGGUGCCUGUAGUCCCGGCUAAUCGGGAGGCUGAGGCAGGAGAAUGGCGCGAACCCGGGAGGCAGAGCUUGCAGUGAGUGGAGAUCGCGCCACUGCCCUCCAGCCUGGGCGACAGAGCGAAACUCCGUCUCAAAAAAAAAAAAAAAAAAAAAAAAA